Molecule: ribosomal RNA, 308 nt
Filed under: uncultured bacterium
Lineage: Bacteria
Description: bacterial SSU rRNA
Rfam family: Bacterial small subunit ribosomal RNA
Source: RNAcentral
AUUGAACGCUAGCGGGAUGCUUUACACAUGCAAGUCGAACGGCAGCACGAGAGAGCUUGCUCUCUUGGUGGCGAGUGGCGGACGGGUGAGUAAUGCAUCGGAAUGUGCCCAGUAGCGGGGGAUAACUACUCGAAAGAGUAGCUAAUACCGCAUAUUCCCUACGGGGAAGAGGGGACCUUCGGGCCUCUCACUACUGGAGCAGCCGAUGUUAGAUUAGCUAGUUGGUGGGGUAAAAGACCUACCAAGGCCACGAUCUAUAGCUGGUUUGAGAGGACGACCAGCCACACUGGGACUGAGACACGGCCCAG